Molecule: ribosomal RNA, 492 nt
Filed under: uncultured bacterium
Lineage: Bacteria
Description: bacterial SSU rRNA
Rfam family: Bacterial small subunit ribosomal RNA
Source: RNAcentral
GAACGCUAGCGACAGGCCUAACACAUGCAAGUCGAGGGGCAGCACAAGGAGCAAUCUGAGGUGGCGACCGGCGCACGGGUGAGUAACACGUAUGCAACCUGCCUGUAAGCGGGGAAUAACCCGUUGAAAGACGGACUAAUACCGCAUAAUACUAAAUUACUGCAUGGUAAUUUAUUUAAACAUUUAUGGCUUACAGAUGGGCAUGCGCAUGAUUAGCUAGUUGGAGAGGUAACGGCUCCCCAAGGCAACGAUCAUUAGGGGUUCUGAGAGGAAGGUCCCCCACACUGGUACUGAGACACGGACCAGACUCCUACGGGAGGCAGCAGUGAGGAAUAUUGGUCAAUGGACGAGAGUCUGAACCAGCCAAGUCGCGUGCAGGAAGAAUGUCCUAUGGAUUGUAAACUGCUUUUGCAGGGGAAUAAAGUGCAUCACGUGUGAUGUUUUGUAUGUACUCUGCGAAUAAGGAUCGGCUAACUCCGUGCCAGCAGCAGC